AGAACGAACGCUGGCGGCAGGCCUCAAACAUGCAAGUCUAGGGGGUGUAGCAAUACAUCACCGGCGGACGGGUGCGUAACGCGUGGGAAUAUACCUAUUGGUUCGGAACAACUGAGGGAAACUUCAGCUAAUACCGAAUGUGCCCUAACGGGGAAAGAUUUAUCGCCAAUGGAUUAGCCCGCGUUCGAUUAGCUAGUUGGUGGGGUAACGGCCCACCAAGGCGACGAUCGAUAGCUGUUCUGAGAGGAAGAUCAGCCACACUGGGACUGAGACACGGCCCAGACUCCUACGGGAGGCAGCAGUUGGGAAUCUGGACAAUGGGGAACCCUGAUCCAGCCAUGCCGCGUGAGUGAUGAAGGCCUUCGGGUUGUAAAACUCUUUCGCGCACGACGAUAAUGACGGUAGUGCGAGAAGAAGCUCCGGCUAACUUCGCGCCAGCAGCCGC
This 445-nucleotide ribosomal RNA is filed under the name uncultured bacterium. Its description in RNAcentral is "SSU rRNA". It matches the Rfam family "Bacterial small subunit ribosomal RNA", at positions 26 to 518 of the family's 1533-position model. The record is from RNAcentral.